Molecule: ribosomal RNA, 517 nt
Filed under: Schistosoma japonicum
Lineage: Eukaryota; Metazoa; Platyhelminthes; Trematoda; Strigeidida; Schistosomatidae
Description: partial small subunit ribosomal RNA
Source: RNAcentral
UAUACAAUUUAACCCUGGUUGAAGUUGAAAUAUAUCUAAUGAUGCUAUAUACGUUUAUUAUAUUAUGCUAAUCCUUGAGCAUAUAAAUUUGAGGUGGUUGUAGUAGUGAGAUCUAUCGUUAUAAAGAAAUUUAGUGAUGGUUGUUAGAUAGUAGAAGAGGCUAAAGCACAGUGCCAGCAGCCGCGGUUAUACUGUAAUUCUUCUUAUUUCUUUUUUGGUUAAAACUUUUAUUGAAAUUUAAAUAAAAUUGGUUGGUUAAAUAGGUUUUUUUUUGAGAAUACUUCAAUGAUGAGUAAAGUUCCAGUAUAAAGACAGGGAUUAGAUACCCCUUUAUUAGGAUAAAAAAUUUUUGUCCACGGUUUCAAACUGAAAGGGUUUGGCAGCAAACUAAAUUCUUCCGGGGGAAGGUGCUUAUUAAAGAGAUGAUCCGCUUAUUAAUUUACUAUAUCUAGUGUUAGUGUAUAUCCGUUUGUAUAUUCACGCUUAGAGGUCAUAAGUGGGUAAAUAUUAAAUAAUU